CGGCCGCGUCGACGUAGGCGGAAUGCGUGGUGUAGCGGUGAAAUGCAUAGAUAUCACGCAGAACUCCGAUUGCGAAGGCAGCUUGCCAAGCCAUAACUGACACUGAAGCACGAAAGCGUGGGUAUCAAACAGGAUUAGAUACCCUGGUAGUCCACGCAGUAAACGAUGAUUACUAGGAGUUUGCGAUAUAAUGUAAGCUCUACAGCGAAAGCGUUAAGUAAUCCACCUGGGGAGUACGCCGGCAACGGUGAAACUCAAAGGAAUUGACGGGGGCCCGCACAAGCGGAGGAACAUGUGGUUUAAUUCGAUGAUACGCGAGGAACCUUACCCGGGUUUGAACGCAGUCUGACCGGUCGACGCGGCCG
RNAcentral lists this ribosomal RNA (365 nucleotides) under uncultured bacterium. RNAcentral's name for it is "bacterial SSU rRNA". It matches the Rfam family "Bacterial small subunit ribosomal RNA", at positions 642 to 1012 of the family's 1533-position model. The record is from RNAcentral.